Molecule: transfer RNA, 67 nt
Filed under: Quedenfeldtia trachyblepharus (Atlas day gecko)
Lineage: Eukaryota; Metazoa; Chordata; Lepidosauria; Squamata; Sphaerodactylidae
Description: tRNA-Tyr
Rfam family: tRNA
About the family: Transfer RNA (tRNA) molecules are approximately 80 nucleotides in length. Their secondary structure includes four short double-helical elements and three loops (D, anti-codon, and T loops).
Source: RNAcentral
GGUAAGGUGGUCGAGAGUAGGCGGCGGGCUGUAGACCCGAAGACGGGGUAAAGAGCCCCCCUUAUCA